Molecule: long non-coding RNA, 3577 nt
Filed under: Ficedula albicollis (Collared flycatcher)
Lineage: Eukaryota; Metazoa; Chordata; Aves; Passeriformes; Muscicapidae
Description: lncRNA (ENSFALG00000025170.1)
Source: RNAcentral
UUUGCAGCUGCUCUCGGCCGUCUCGGAGCUGUUGGGGGAGGGGACGGCGCCGCUGCUGCCUCGGGCACUUCCGGUCCUGCAGGGUGCGCUGCGGCCCCCGCCUCCGGUGAGUGCUGGUUUGUACUGGUUUGUACUGGUUUGUACUGGUUUGUACUGGUUUGGGGUUUUUCUUUACUGGUUUGGGCUGGGAAUGAACUGGGAAGGGAUUAAAGGGUUAAAAAAGGGUUGAAAUGGGAUUUUUGGGGUUGCGGGCUUAUACUGGUUUGUACUGGUUUCGAGUUUGGGGGUUACUGGGAUAGACUGGGAGGGGCUAGAAUGGAAUCUGGGGGUCACUGCUUUGUACUGGUUUACACUGGUUUGGAUUGGUUAGGACUGGGACAAGUGUAAGGGUUACCGCUUUAUACUGGGAGGGACUGGGAUGAACUGGGAGGGAUUUAAACUGGUCCUUACGGUUCAUACUGGUUUAUACUGGUUAAUGCUGGUUCAUACUGGUUUAUACUGGUCCAUACUGGUCCCUUACCCCCCCAGCCCCCCUCGGACGCUCCCCAUUGGCUGCUGAAUCUCCACGACGACGAUGAGAACGAUGACAUCACCGCCAUGGAAGAGGAUGACGUCACCGACUGGGAGCAGUGAGUGGGCGUGGCCUGGGAAGUGGGCGGGGCCUGGGGCGGUUCCCAUGCCCGUACAUGGACAUGACCCGCCCCCACAGGGCAGAAGUGGGCGGAGCUUUCCCCGGAUUGGCGGAAGCGGCGCUGGGAGCACUGGGAGAACUGGCGGAGAACUGCGGGUAACUGGUUUAUACUGGUCCAUACUGGUCCAUACUGGUCCAUACUGGUCCACACUGGUCCAUACUGGUUUAUACUGGUUUAUACUGGUUCCAGCUCCGCUCUCCUCCCAUACCUGGAUCCCCUCCUUGCUGAGAUCGGAUUAUACUGGUUCCAGCUCUGCUCUCCUCCCAUACCUGGAUCCCCUCCUUGCCGCUGUCCUGGAUCUGACCCAGUUCCCCCAGUCCGAGGUCAGAGGCGCCGCCUACGAAGCCCUUGGGAGCCUGUGCUGCUGCGGGAGGGACGCCCAAACUGGUUUGUACUGGUUUGGACUCGUUUAUACUGGGAGGGACUGGGAGGGCAACGAAAUGGAACUAGAUUUUACUGGUUUAUACGGGUUUAUACUAGGAGGGAUUGGGAUGAACUGGGAGGGCUUUAAACUGGCUUAUACUGGUCUGUACUGGUCAAACCUGGCUUAUACUGGUCCAUACCAGUCCAUACUGGCUUGUACUGGUUUAUACUGGUUUACUCUGGUUUAUACUGGUUUAUACUGGCUCAUAUUGACCUAUUCUGGUCCAUAUUGGUCCACAUUGGUCCGAACCAGUUUAUACUGGUACAUAGCAGUUUGUACUAGCUUGUACUGGUUCAUACUGGAUUAUACUGGUCCAUACUGGUCCAUACCGCUCCAUAUUGGUCCAUAUGGGUCCAUACCAGUCCAUACUGGUUUAUACCGGUGCAUACUGGUUAAUACUGGUUUAUACUAGUCCAUACGGGUCCAUACUGGUUUAUACUGGUUUAUACUGGUUUAUACUAGUACAUACCGGUCCCUAUCGGUCCAUACUGGUCCACACUGCUUUAUACUGUUCCAUACUGGUCAAUACUGGCCCAUACUGGUCCAUACCCAUCCAUACUGGUUUAUACCGGUCCAUGCUGGUUUAUACUGGUUUAUAGUAGUACAUACUGGCCCACACUGGUCCAUACCGGUCCAUACUGGUUUGUACCGGUCCAUACUGGUCCAUGCUGGUUUAUAAUGGUUUAUAGUAGUACAUACUGCCCCAUACUGGUCUAUACUGGUCCAUACUGGUUUCCCCGGGGGGGGGGGGGGGGGGGGGGGGGGGGGGGGGGGGGGGGGGGGGGGGGGGGGGGGGGGGGGGGGGGGGGGGGGGGGGGGGGGGGGGGGGGGGGGGGGGGGGGGGGGGGGGGGGGGGGGGGGGGGGGGGGGGGGGGGGGGGGGGGGGGGGGGGGGGGGGGGGGGGGGGGGGGUGGCUGCAGCCAAUGGGGGAGGCGCUGUGUGACGUCAUCGCCGGCAAGGUCAGGGCGAAUCAGCACUAAUUACUGCCGUUAAUUAAGGGGUUAAUUGCAUUUAAAUUAGCGGGGUUUAGGAAUUAAAAUGGGGGGUGGGCGUGGCUUAAUGAGAGAUGGGCAGGCGGGGCUUAAUUAUAAUUAAAAUGGGUUCAUGGGAAUUAAAAUUGUGGCUGGGCGGGGUUUAAGGGGAUAGUGGGCGUGGCUUAAACUGGGUUUAAUGGGAUUGAGUUGGUUUAAACUGGGCUUACUGGGAUGGGAGUGGCUUAAACUGGUAUAAUGGGAUGGGCGUGGUCUAAAGGGGAAUGGGCGUGGCUUAACCCGGGUUUACUGGGGUGGGCGUGGUUUAAACUGGGUUUAAUGGGAUAGAACCGGUUUAAACUGGGUUUAAGGGGUUUGGGCCAGGUUUAGUUGUGGGCGUGGCCUGACCCGCCCCUCCCCCCACAGAUCGCCUGCCUGAGAUCGCGCCGGGACGACGGCGACGAGGUGGGGGAGGGGCGGCACCAGUUCAAACCAGUUUGAUCCCAGUCCCUCCCAGUUUAUCCCAGAUCACUCCCAGUUCCCUCCAGUUUAUCCCAGUUUGAUCCCAGUUACCUCCCGGUAACCCCCAGCUCCCCCCAGACCUCCCAAGUCUCCGAACUCCGCGAAUCCGCCUCCGAUUGGCUGCUGCAGCUGGGCGCUGCCAUGGCAGGAAAUGACGUCACCCAGAACGGAAAUGACGUCACCCAGACAGGAAAUGACGCGUUUUUCCCGCCCCACCUCUUCCGCCGGAUCCUCCCCUCGCUAUUGGCCCAUCUGGCCGACCCCGCCCACCCGGGGGCGCGCUCCUGGGCGGGCGCCGUGAUUGGCCAGCUGGGCCACGCCCUCGGUCCCGGGGCCACGCCCUUUUUGCCAAAUUUGGGAAGCGCCUUCAGAUUGGCCGUCACGGACCCCGAGCCGGAAGUGAGAGCCAACGCCUUCUACGCCAUUGGUCGGAUCGGGGAGGCCGUGGGACACGCCCACCACGAGUAUCCACCAAUCACCGGGCCGGGUUCGGUAUGGCCACGCCCAUUCGGGUUAAGCCACGCCCAUAACGGCACCUUGAAUGGGUUUACGCUCGGCCCACAAGGGUGUAGCCCUGCCCACAUCUCCAUACAUGGCGUGAAGCUCCUCCCACAGAGUUUAAGCCACGCCCUUGUUUUUAAGCCUGGUUUAAGUUGCCAUAAAAGGGCAUGGGGGGCGUCCUAUUCAUUCUGGACCCCGCCCACAACCCCAUAAAAGGAUGUGAACCACGCCCAUCACUCUCAAGCCCCGCCCACAAUGCUAUUAAAUUAUUUAGACCCCGUCCAUCAACUUUAAGCCCCUCCCACAACUCCAUAAAGAAUUUGAAUCCGUCCCACCAUUUUUAAACCCCGCCCCAUUCCCAUAUAAGGAUUUAAACUCCGCCCACACCUCAAACCGGGGGGGGGGGGGGGGGGGGGGGGGGGGGGGGGGGGGGGGGGGGGGGGGGGGGGGGGGGGGGGGGGGGGGGG